UAUUAUUUUUUAUAAUUUAAAUUAAAUAUAAUUAUAAUUUUAUUUUAAAAAGUUAAUUAAAAUGGCAGUAUUUUAUAAAAUUAGAGGAUUUUGUUAUUUAAUAGAUAUUACACUUUAUAAUAUAUUUAUUUUUUUUGUAUUGUAUAUUGUUGUAUUAAAUUAAUAUAUUAAUUAUUAAUUAAUUUAUUUUUUUUGUAUUUUAAAAAUUAAUUCAAAUAAAUAUGCAUAUCAUAAUUAAACUAUAAAUGAAAUACAAUUGAUUUAAAUUAAUGGAUUUAAAAUUGAAAUAUUUUUUUUAAAUAGGAUUUAAAAUUAAAAUUUAAUAUAUAUUAAAUUUGAAUAAUUUUUAAAAUAUGUACAUAUUGCCCGUCGUUUUUAAAUUUUAUUAAAAUAA
RNAcentral lists this ribosomal RNA (394 nucleotides) under Oligotrophus panteli. RNAcentral's name for it is "partial 12S ribosomal RNA". Lineage: Eukaryota; Metazoa; Arthropoda; Insecta; Diptera; Cecidomyiidae. The record is from RNAcentral.